CGCAGUGCGAUAUGAAUCCGGUAGCUCUUUCAGCUAGCUGUCACCUUGGUAUGGUCCCCCCAACAAGCCUAUGGGACUGGAUUGAGUGACUUCACCUGUAGUUCACCUGUAGUGCAUAAAAUCUUGGACAUACAGGUUUGGUUAACAAACAGUUUCUCAUUUGUUCUGUUUAUUAGCUAAAAAAAAUGUUUAUUAGUUAAUUAUCCCGUAGGUCACAUCCUAUUCUAGAACACUAUUUACCCAUCCCCCCUUUGUUACCUGGCUCUGCCCAGGUAACAACCUUGCCUUAUUCUUAAACAAUGACUUAGGUAAGAUUUAGUGAAUUAUCCUUAUGUCUGACAUCAUCAUGUAGGAGCCCCUUUUAAUUUUCCACAUGUCCAAUUCUCCCUUGGGUGUCCCUUCGUGUCAAUCCUGUACCAAUUCCCUGUCAAGUUUCUUAUCUACUUUUAUGAACUAUCUGCGCUACUUAUAUAUUUUCUUAAAUAUAUAUUUUUACCAAUUUAAACCUUUUCUCUCAUAUCUCUCAAAUACCACUAAGCUUCUAACUGUUUGACUUUAUCUAAAAUCAUUGAUUUUAGAAAAAACAUGUCUAUGAGUGGCUUUUCUCUAAAGUCCUUACAUUUCCUUAAUCAAUCUAUCUUAAACCUAACAAUAAUCCUAAAUCAUCACAGAUGUCCUAUAUUCCUGUUAAAUGUAAUACUAUUUAAAAAACUUAGAAUAAUCAAACAAGGUCUAAUAAAUGCUAACCAUAUUAAAAAUCCUUCCUACACUAACAAGCCCUCUCCUUCGGGGACCCUCAGUAUUCUAUCUGACAAUAACAUGAUCAAAAUAUGUGUUGCAAAGUGUGGAAUACCUUAUCUACAGUAAUUUAUCACCCUUAAAAAAACUGCAACUUAUUUUUCUAUGUAAUUCCCUGCCCUAUUGGCUUAAUCUAUCUUAUCUUCCCCUAUUUAUUCUCAAUGAUAAAUAUGACUUUUUCUCUGUUACAAUACCAGAUCAUUAAUAGCCCCUUCAAAAACUUCACAGCUAAUGUUGUAAAACAGAAUCCUGAACCACUUUCUCAUUUGCGGUUCAAACAGUAAUUCUAACCCCUCAACCAAAACUCCUUCAUUUCUAAUGAAUUUACCUUAAAACUAGUAACUCAAUAUGACCACAUUCAUUAUACAAAUGACUCUCCCCUGAGGCUGAUCAGACCUCAGAAGACAGUCACGAUAAGAUCAAUAGGUCAUAAAAAUAAAUUCACUUGUAUAAUUAAAACUCAGAAAGUUCCAUAUGUGAGCGUGCCUCUUUAAAAUACCUUUGCACUAAAACAAAUAGUCCUAAAUGGUUUUAUGUGUAUAUACUUGCAGACCUGUUUUAAUUUGGUCGUUUAUGGCCUCAUUCUCCCCCAGGUUAUAAUCCCAGGAAACAUCUAAAAUUGAGACCCUUUAAACAUCCAUUUUCCCAGAAGAACACAACACUCCUAACUAGCAUUCACUAAGCUAAUUCCGAUUCAGAAACUCAAAAGUGAACUAUAAACUAAACCUAAUGAUGAUUCCCCUUUAACUAAAAUCAUUAAUCAUAAGUUUUAAACACCGUCAAUGUAUAUGUUUACUUAAAUGAACAUGUUACCCUUAGAUACAAUUAACCCGAUACAUUUCUCAGUGUAAGAAAUCCGUAAUUUAAUCCCCGAUAUUUAAUAAAUAUGCAUUCGCUUUCUCCCAUGGCUCCUUUAAUUGACUUAUUUUAGAUAACUUCCAUCCGUCCCGGAAUGAAAAAUCCUACUUAAACACGCAUGUCUACGUAUCAGGGGAAAAGUUUGAAUAACUAAAUUCAACCUAGCUUACUUCCCGAAACAUAUGCAGUUAUGUUUUUCUAUAGAGGUUGCUUUUCAAACUUUAAAUACCCUAACAUGGUUCCACACAAUUGAAAGUGCUCAAAUUCACUGGUGUUACGUAAACAAUCAACCCUGGAAUCACAACCAUGGAAUCCAUUACCACGAUGUUUUACGAAUCAUACAUCCAGUCUCUCUCUCCCUAACAUAGUUCAACCCAAACAAACGCCACAAACCUUGAUGCCUACCUAGGUAUCCGCUGAUAGUUUUUAGCAUCUUUCCUGACUAUCCUGGCAACUCUCAAAUUACUGUUAAAAAUGUAUUUUGUAAUUUAUAUCAACUUCUGAAAAGUUACUCGAAACAUCAAUGCACACACUAACAGACAUACGAUUUGUUCCGUUAUCCCCAGUCCCUGGCGACAAAAGUGCCUCGCUAGUGACGUCAUCAUCAAGCGCUCAACCUGCCAAUUCAUAGCGACUUUAAAUGAAUUGUAAAUAAUUCUUGUUCGAUUAACCAAACCUAAUUUAUCACAUCUGUUCCAAUCCUGAAUUAUAAUUUACCACCCCAACCAAUAUCUCUAAAUUUGCUAAUUUUAUAAAAACAUUUAGAUGGGCAUAAAUCGUAAUUGUCUCUUUGUUAUCAUUUAGAAUCCAUUUUGCUCUAAGUAACUGUCUCGUCUUUGACUUAGUAUUUUAAUUACAACUCUAUUCCCAAUACGUUAUUCACUUGUCUAAUUAAAAACUCACUAGCAUUAUGUGAGUGUACACCUUUAAAAUACCUUGUCUCUGGGAACAGGGAAAUCCCCUUAACCCAAACUUUUACUCCUACAACGACACCCAAUAAUUCUGAUAAUCCCUUCACAUCGUUUGUUUUAAAUCUCUUGAUGUAUCAUGUAACUUAUUUUUCUAUCUUCAAAUUGUCGUCCCACAAUAUUUUUUCCACUGUCAUACACUCAAACCACUGUGAUUGACAUGCACUGUCCCUUUAAAAUAAGACAUUAUUUUUCCCCGUAAAGAAAAACAGAGAAAAUAGAUAGUGUUAUUUUUUUUUUAGGAUACUUUAACUUCUAGUUCCAAUUCCCAGGCGUUACCUAACCAAAAAUCAAUACUCGGAAAAACAAUCACAACUUUUUACGAUUAAACUAUUCUUACCUAUCUUAUAGUCCAAAGCGUUGCACUAUAUAGCCCAUUUAGUGCUUGGCACUUCCGUUGCAAUCUGUGGCAUCUUUACGAUACUUCUCCUUUUUCUUAAUGAAAUGUAUCUGGAACUUCUGGCCGCUUUUGAAAAGUAACUCUAAGCUAUAAUGCACGCAUUUUUCCUCUAAAUGCCACAACCCCUUUUCUCGGUUUAAAUUUGAGGAACGAUGUUGUUAAACGUGCAACGUCAUCAUACAUCUGCCUGCCUCUGUAAAAUAUAUAUAUUCCCUAUUCAGAUUGCGUUCAGUUUUAAAUUCUAAUCAUCAAAGCAUAACCAACCCAACUUCUCAACUUACCAUACCCUAAAUUUAAACGUACCAUGUUUUGUGCUAAAUUUAUCAUAUGUCAGUCGAUUCAUAAAUAGCUAUAACGUCCGGAUAGCACGAAAUUGUAUCGUAUCUCUC
This is a long non-coding RNA of Oncorhynchus tshawytscha (Chinook salmon), 3413 nucleotides long. Lineage: Eukaryota; Metazoa; Chordata; Actinopteri; Salmoniformes; Salmonidae. The record is from Ensembl.